CCAACUGAUUGAUGGUGCUUGCCUGAUUGACGAUGGAUCACCAGUGAGUGGCGGACGGGUGAGUAACACGUAGGUAACCUGCCCCGGAGCGGGGAAUAACAUUUGGAAACAGAUGCUAAUACCGCAUAACAACAAAAGCCACAUGGUUUUUGUUUGAAAGAUGGCUUUGGCUAUCACUCUGGGAUGGACCUGCGGUGCAUUAGCUAGUUGGUAAGGUAACGGCUUACCCAAGGCGAUGAUGCAUAGCCGAGUUGAGAGACUGAUCGGCCACAAUGGAACUGAGACACGGUCCAUAACUCCUACGGGAGGCAGCAGUAGGGAAUCUUCCACAAUGGGCGCAAGCUGAUGGAGCAACACCGCGUGAGUGAAAAAGGGUUUCGGCUCGUAAAGCUCUGUUGUUGGAGAAGAACGUGCGUGAGAGUAACUGUUACGCAGUGACGGUAUCCAACCAGAAAGUCACGGCUAACUACGUGCCAGCAGCCGCGGUAAUACGUAGGUGGCAAGCGUUAUCCGGAUUUAUUGGGCGUAAAGCGAGCGCAGGCGGUUGCUUAGGUCUGAUGUGAAAGCCUUCGGCUUAACCGAAGAAGUGCAUCGGAAACCGGGCGACUUGAGUGCAGAAGAGGACAGUGGAACUCCAUGUGUAGCGGUGGAAUGCGUAGAUAUAUGGAAGAACACCAGUGGCGAAGGCGGCUGUCUGGUCUGCAACUGACGCUGAGGCUCGAAAGCAUGGGUAGCGAACAGGAUUAGAUACCCUGGUAGUCCAUGCCGUAAACGAUGAGUGCUAGGUGUUGGAGGGUUUCCGCCCUUCAGUGCCUGUUCUAACGCAUUAAU
Molecule: ribosomal RNA, 831 nt
Filed under: Limosilactobacillus reuteri
Lineage: Bacteria; Bacillati; Bacillota; Bacilli; Lactobacillales; Lactobacillaceae
Description: bacterial SSU rRNA
Rfam family: Bacterial small subunit ribosomal RNA
Source: RNAcentral